GACGAACGCUGGCGGCGUGCUUAACACAUGCAAGUCGAACGGAAAGGCCUGCUUUCCCUUGUGGAUUGCGGGUACUCGAGUGGCGAACGGGUGAGUAACACGUGAGUGAUCUGCCCCCAACUUGGGUAUAAGCCUGGGAAACUGGGUCUAAUUCCCGAUAGGACUGCAGGGUGGUGCCUGUGGUGGAAAACGAUUUUCUAGUGGUUGGGGAUGAGCUCGCGGCCUAUCAGCUUGUUGGUGGGGUAAUGGCCUACCAAGGCGGCGACGGGUAGCCGGCCUGGGAGGGGGGACGGCCAAAGUGGGACUGAGAUACGGCCCAGACUCCUACGGGAGGCAGCAGUGGGGAAUAAUGCACAAUGGGCGGAAGCCUGAUGCAGCGACGCCGCGUGGGGGAUGACGGCCUUCGGGUUGUAAACUCCUUUCGACCGCGAGGAAGCCACCUGGUUGGAAGGGUGGUGACGGUAGUGGUAGAAGAAGCACCGGCUAACUACGUG
RNAcentral lists this ribosomal RNA (494 nucleotides) under uncultured bacterium. RNAcentral describes it as "partial 16S ribosomal RNA". It matches the Rfam family "Bacterial small subunit ribosomal RNA", at positions 28 to 507 of the family's 1533-position model. The record is from RNAcentral.